UGUAUGUGAGAAUUUUGCUGUCGCAUCUUAUUUUAUACACAUUAUACCUUAAUACCAACACAGCCUAAUGUAUAAAUACAUACAUUUCUCUGAAUCAGAAUUCAUACAGUUAAAAAUAUAGAGGCUACAAUGUCUGUCAUUGCUCAACAAUAGGUAAAGUACAGCCAGCUAAUUUGACAGUAACUAAUGCAGUAAAAUUGCACAGCAGCCUUAUUACUUUACCUUCACUUAUAGCCAACCCUGGUCCUCGAGAGCCACUGCACUGCUUGUUUUCCAGCUGUCCCUGCCCUUCCAGCUUCUGACUGACAACACACCUGAUCCAUUACUAAUCAGCAGUGAGUAAGGCAUGGAUAGUUGGUAAACAAGCAGAGUCAUGUCAAAUGCUUAAUGGCCAAAUUAAUUUAUGAGGGGUGGUGGCCAACUUUCAAAGCAUUUCAAGGCUACAGCUUUGUACUAUGUAAUUUAAGAUGCUCUGAAGAGGUGGAGUCCAACUGCCACAGACUCCGAAAUUGAUGCAUUAAUGGCGGAACACCUAAAACACGCUCCAGGAAGAGCUGGGGGCGGUGGUUAUAAGAAAUAAGCUGUUUUGAGAGACAUUUACAUGUGUGUUUACAUUAAUCCAGUAUUUUUGUUUUGUACUUGUUUGAUUUAUAGCUGUUUAAAAUUUAAUGCAAAACCGUUUCAAUUAAAAAAAUUGAGUACUGCCACAUUAAUAAUGCUUCUGGAAGAGCAAGUGCUUGUGGAGCAACAAAAUGAUAGUAAACAUUUUGGAAUAAUGAUAAAUAAAUAAAAGAUUAUAAAUAUACAUAUGUGUUCACUUUUAUCUGUUACCUUGGUUAUGUUCUUGUUUGAAUAAUGGCUACUUAAAAUUAAUGUCAAGCUUUGAGAAAAUUGGUGCAUGCUUAGAAUUAACUACAUUAUAUUAUUUCUGUUUUCAUGUUUAAAUAGUAGCUGUUUAACAAAUGGAAGACCUUGAAAAAAAUGUAAUAUGCACAAAAUAUGUUGUAGUAAAUUAGAACGGUCUAAUUCUUGCUUAAGUCCACACAAUGUUUUAUUGUUUGUAAUGUACACGUGAUUAAAACGUUUUGUAGACGUUCA
Long non-coding RNA from Labeo rohita (rohu), 1098 nucleotides. RefSeq lists it as uncharacterized. Lineage: Eukaryota; Metazoa; Chordata; Actinopteri; Cypriniformes; Cyprinidae. The record is from RefSeq and is a predicted model, not a curated record. The transcript is spliced from 3 exons.